Molecule: long non-coding RNA, 840 nt
Organism: Sciurus carolinensis (gray squirrel)
Lineage: Eukaryota; Metazoa; Chordata; Mammalia; Rodentia; Sciuridae
Exons: 4
Source: RefSeq, a predicted model, not a curated record
CUCAGCAGUUCCACACGCAAGGACACUGGGCUCCGUGGGGCUCACAUAAUUGCCCCCAGCCACAGUUACUAGGUAGGAGGGCUGGAGUCCAAACCGAGUCCUGUCUGUCCUCCCCACCAAGCUCCUCACGAUUAUCUGAAGGACAGCAUUUAACGUGUGAUUCACAAAAGGGACUCUGGAUCCGCUCGGUCCAGGUCUGAGUGGCGGGGACGAGGCCAGGUGCUCAGCAGAUGGCCAGAGUCACACAAACACCAAUAACAGAGGCAGAUAAAGUGGCGGGGAGCUGUUUGUGUCACCAAUGUUUAUCAAAGCUUUGUCAACAAAUGGAUUCCUGCCAAAGUCACAAAUAGAAAAUGACCCGACUGUGGAGACUCUCGGCUCUCAGCUCCUUUGCAGGGCGGACGUUCUGAAUGGAGGUGGAAAGAAAUGCAGAUACGUUGGGCUCUUGUGCACAUCCUGCCGUCCGCACACCCGACUUGCAACUUUGAGCUGCGAGAGUGUUUGAGCCCAGCCUCCGAGCCUGGGGCUUUUCUCCAGCCGGUGUCCAAUUCCUGGGGCAGGUCCCAAGUGCUGGGUGCCAGGGACUUAAUGCUCUCUAGGAGCUGAUCUCCGCGGAACGGGAGCCUGAUGGGUAGAUGCCACUCCUUCUUGCCCCUCAUGUGGGACGCCAGGGAGGCAUCUGCUACCAGUCUCCCAGAGGUCCCAGGAGGACUAGUCCAGCUGCCCACCAAGGGGACCUGCUCAUUAGCGCAACCGACCCUGGUUUCCGGACUGCCCUGUCUCCUUGCUCCGCCCCCUCGCCGCUUCCUGCCAUCACACCCCUAAUAAACUGCACUCAAA